CCGCAUUCUCAUAGCCUUCCUACCUCAGCAGCGUAUGUCUGUCUCACUGCUGUGCCCUGAAUCCUAGCAUCCCGCUCUCCCCAGGAUUUCUGGAAUGGGGUUUCCAGUGACCCUGGAUAAAUACUGGUAUUUCUUGCAUGAUUCAAUAACAUCAGGAAAAUGCUUGAGUUUCUGAAACAAGUCUGACUGGUACGCUUCAUCUUAUCAGCCCAAGUAAAUAAAAAGUACAUUAGGAGUUAUUCUCCCAGAUUAAUGAGCUUAAUUUAAACUGCUGCUAUUUUUAAAGUCCGUAUUUUAAGUUCUCUGUUUCUUUCUUCAUUUUGGAGUCCUUUCAGUGCAAUUGGGAAGACUCAGAACUACUGUUUCAAAGAUAAAAGUUGGUCUUCAGAUGACAUCAUUGCAUGCAUGCAGUGUGGGCUGAGAGCAGAAAAAGAAAACCAUAAUGCAAAACUUGUGCUGACAUUCUGAGCUGUCAACGUUGAAUACUUCAAGUUAAUUAGAAGACCAGACAUGUCCAGCCCAAAUGAAUAUUUGAUUUACUGCAUACCAUCACAAAUAUAUACUUAUAGGUUGUUUAAUCACUGUUUCUGAAGCAAUGUAGGGACAGUAGUAACUGCAGGCAGGCAUACUGUGUGGUGGGGAUGGGGUUGGGAAUGGGAAUGGAAACCCCUUGUUCUUUGUUGAUUUUCAACAGAGAAGCCACCAGGAAGCAUAGUAGGAAUCAGGAAAUCUUGUUCCCAUCAUCUUUCACUGGAGCUUACAUCUUUGGUAACCAGAUAACCAUGUGGCUGAGCUUUUUGCAGCUAAAGCAUUUUGGGUGGCCUUGAAGCUGGGUAUAGCCUGCUCUACAAAGAAUGGUGGUUGUGCUGGAGUUCCCUUGCAUGGAGCACCUGCCUACACUUACUCCUCAUGGCAGGACCACACAGUUUGCAAGCAAUGGAAAAAAGUCUCCACACAAGAAACAUGCUGCUCUGUGGCUUUCACAUCUGCUUGGUUUUAAUCCCAGCUCUGCCCUACUGCCCUUUCUUCAAGUCCAUGAGGAGCAGAGCAAUGCUUUGGGGUAGACUAAGGGUUUCUGCAUCAGGAGGUUGGAGACACAAGUACAGGCUGGGCAUGUGGUGUAAGAGAGGGGUCCGGGUCAGGCACAGGGGCUAAAUGAAGCAGGAAGAAGGUUUUCCAUUCCCCAUAACAGGUAAGUGAGAAAUAAAGCCUCCAUAUGAGCUGAGGAGCACUGGCCUAAUGCUGGGCUGAGACAGGACUGGGAAGUCACUGGUUUUGCCCCAGCCCUGAGCAAACCCCCCUGGGGAAAUGCAGGGAGGGGAUAGGGAAGGGACAUGCAGUUUUGGCACUGGAUCUGUGUGGCUCUGGAUCUGUCCCUGGCAGUUGUGCCCUGGGGUGCAGCAGACAGACCCCCAGUUGGCAGUGGGAGAGCCAGGGGAAGCGUUGGGAAGCGGGAGGCUCCAGCAAGGGCCAUGGGAGGGAGGCAAGCCCCAGCGAGGCACUAUUUUCAGUGCGCGCUGUCAGGCAGGAUUUUCUGAGGACAAUAUAUUUCCCCAUGGUGACAGCUCUGGCAGGCGGUGCGAGCGUGGCUGGUCCAAGCCCUGCUCAGGGGCUCGCUUCCUAAUUAGGAAGAGAAUUUAGGAAGAGAUCCUGAUUUUUUGUUGUUGUUUACCAAAACUUGGGGGGUCACCUCGCUAGAACAAAGCAGUCCUGCAGCAUGGACACCUUUGGUAAACACCUGCCACAGCAAGGUUGAUGGCCAAAGUAUCAUCUGUGGAAUGAAUGGUCACACAAAGACUCUGUUUACACACAAAGGGAUGCACAGGCUUGGAGCUGACAAAUGAGCAAUGGUUCUGAAGAUGUAGUUAAAGCAGAAGACUGAACCUUAUAGAAGAAGUAGCCAUACUCAGAGUGCAGGAGCAUGAGAGAAUCAAGCGAAUUAGGAGGCAAAUGGCAGUUAUCAGUGUUUGCCUGAUUAUGUGGUGUCAAAUGGUUCUGCUAACUUUAUUCAGCUGGGUUCUUCUCAGGGAAGGACGUCUGUUCCCAUCCACUGAGUCCUUGAUGCAGCAGUUAAGUUAGCAUGAUCCAGCCUUUUUUCUGGGCUCCAUAUAGUGAGAAAGUAAAUGAAAAAAUAAUAGAGCCUUGAGAGCAAAGGAACAAGACGGUUGUCGAGGUUAAUGAUGUCUUGGAUUGAAUUGACAGAAUUUCGGUGGAUCACAGGAGGAAUUUAUGGUACUCGGGGAUGACACUCUGCGCCCACACAGACAACUGGGCAUUCCUCCCACGACUGUAUUAUCUGGCCUGCUGUGUGUAGCACAUAAAUCCACUGCUGGUUUUCUGUGCAAGGAAUCCCACGCAUGGGACCAAAAAGGCUUGUGGCAGUCACUUCCCUAGACCACAGCUCCUCUUCCAAGAUCCUCAGCUUUUGCUGGAGCUAAGCGAAGCGUGUAGGGCCGCAGGGUGCACGUGUACCUAUGUGUGUGAAUGUGCACGGGGACACAGGAGAAAAUGUGCAUGGAGGGUACAAAGGUUCUGUUCCAAACACCUCCUGGAACCUCUUCCCUCCUGUGCCACCAGUUUUCACUGCAGCUCUAGAAAAUCUGCCUUUUCACUGUUGGCUGAAAGUUAUUAAGAAUAUUGUAGCAUUGACAAUUGCUGUGGAAAGAAAUCCUUACCAUAUGGCACUGCGAACUAGCUUAGAGAACAUAUAGACACAAAACACCAUCCACAAAUUAAGUAAAGGAGAUGGUUUAAAAUGACACAAUUAAAUACUUUUCCCCCCC
Molecule: long non-coding RNA, 2783 nt
Organism: Pezoporus occidentalis (night parrot)
Lineage: Eukaryota; Metazoa; Chordata; Aves; Psittaciformes; Psittacidae
Exons: 2
Source: RefSeq, a predicted model, not a curated record